AGAGUUUGAUCAUGGCUCAGGAUAAACGCUGGCGGCGUGGAUAAGGCAUGCAAGUCAAACGGUUCGCCGUAAGGCGAACAGUGGCGAACGAGGUAGUAACACGUAGGUACGCACCCCAAAGUCAGGAAUAACUCAUCGAAAGAUGAGCUAAUACUUGAUAGUCUCUUCGGAGUAAAGAUUUAUCGCUUUGGGAGCGGCCUGCGGGAUAUCAGCUAGUUGGUAAGGUAACGGCUUACCAAGGCUAUGACGUCUAGGGGAGGUAAGAGCCUGACCCCCACCGAUGGUACUGAGACACGGACCAUACACCUACGGGUGGCCGCAGUCGAGAAUCUUCCACAAUGGGCGAAAGCCUGAUGGAGCGACGCCGCGUGAUCGAUGAAGUCUUUCGGGAUGUAAAGAUCUUUUAUGAGCAAAGAAGUUUAUUGACUAGCUCAUGAAUAAGGGGUUGCUAAACUCGUGCCAGCAGCAGCGGUAAUACGAGUGCCCCGAGCGUUAUCCGGAAUCAUUGGGCGUAAAGGGUGUGUAGGUGGUGCUAUUAGUCUUCAGUUAAAUUCUUCGGCUUAACCGGGGGCAUGCUGGGGAAACGGUAGCACUAGAGGAUGCGAGAGGUGAAUGGAACUCAUGGUGUAGGGGUGAAAUCCGUUGAUAUCAUGGGGAACACCAAAAGCGAAGGCAGUUCACUGGCGCAUUCCUGACACUGAGACACUAAAGCGUGGGUAGCGAAUGGGAUUAGAUACCCCCGUAGUCC
RNAcentral lists this ribosomal RNA (748 nucleotides) under uncultured soil bacterium. Its description in RNAcentral is "bacterial SSU rRNA". It matches the Rfam family "Bacterial small subunit ribosomal RNA", at positions 8 to 796 of the family's 1533-position model. The record is from RNAcentral.